UCAAAGGAAGUCACUAGACCAUUGGAUGAUG
RNAcentral lists this non-coding RNA (31 nucleotides) under Rattus norvegicus (Norway rat). The record is from RNAcentral. Lineage: Eukaryota; Metazoa; Chordata; Mammalia; Rodentia; Muridae.